GAAUCGUGAGAACGAGACGAAAAUUAACAGAGGGAUUGUGCCCUGUUUAACGUAAUUUAUGUUAAAGUGAGGUUACGUUGUUUCUCAAAAUGGCUUUUCGCUUUCAGUUUGGAUUUAAUAUGUUUCCGGAGAUUCCACGAUCUUUUAACACUCAGUAUAAAUGUUUCUCUGUGUCGAUGUUACCAGGUGCCUAUCGACAAGAUGUGGAACGUGGAGGAAAAAUAAUUAUGCCACCUUCGGCUUUAGAACAGCUUACAAGAUUGAACAUUAUUUAUCCAAUGCUGUUCAAAUUGACCAAUAAAAAAACUAAUAGAGUAACUCAUUGUGGUGUUUUGGAAUUUGUUGCCGAUGAAGGGAAAGUUUAUUUACCAUACUGGAUGAUGCUUAAUCUGUUAGUAGAAGAAGCGGAAUUGAUAAAUGUUGAAAGUGUUUCUCUACAAAUUGCAACGUUCUCACGUUUUCAACCACAAUCCGAAGAUUUCUUAGAUAUUACAAAUCCUAAAGCUGUUUUAGAAAAUGGUUUAAGAAGUUUCGCCUGUCUUACAACAGGUGAUGUAAUCGCUAUAAAGUAUAACCAAAGAAUAUACGAAAUGUGUGUCUUGGAGACAAAACCAAAUUCAGCAGUUAGUAUCAUAGAAUGUGAUAUGAACGUUGAGUUUGCUCCACCUGUGGGUUAUAUAGAACCGGAGAAACAUACUAAAAAGGAUGAACCUGUAGUAGACCCUGCUGAUUUAAUGCCAGCACCCGUUGGUUUUGUACCAUUUAAAGGACAUGGUAAUAGAUUAGAUGGCAAAAAACGUAAAGAUUUUGGACAGUCAGAUGUUGCCACAAAUAAACCUACAUAUAUUAGAGGAAUACCAGAUUAUGAAUAUAAAAUAGGGACCCUCGUAUUUUUACGUAAUAUGAAACCUAUUAAUAAUAAAGAGGUAAAAGACCAAGAUGAAUUUAAAGCUUUUACAGGAGAAGGUUUCUCCCUUAGGAAAUCAAGAAAAUGAUUAUUUAAUUGUCAGUCUAUUUAUUUUCUUAUAAUUACUUACAUUUGUAAAAGUUAUACGGGUCACAAAAGGAAGAAAACGAUGUCUGUUACAUAUUGAAAGCGGGGGAUCGAAUCGAGCAGUGGGCUGUGGGACCAGUGGGGCCGAACCUCAAAUAUUGCUCAAUUACGUGUUGAACUUGUGUACACAUGUACAUAUAUAGAUACAUAUACAUACUACGUUUUCAUCAUACAUUCUAUUUCCCGAACACGUGGAAACCUAAAAACUGCUUUGUUCUAUGCGUUUGAUUUUUUCUACGCAAUCAUGUCAUUUUAUGAAAAAGAAAAAUCUCAUCGAAUAAAAAUAGUGACUACCCUUCGUUAGUUUAAUAUUAAA
RNA transcript from Megalopta genalis, 1370 nucleotides. It is a transcript of the gene named ubiquitin fusion-degradation 1-like, with no coding region annotated. Lineage: Eukaryota; Metazoa; Arthropoda; Insecta; Hymenoptera; Halictidae. The record is from RefSeq and is a predicted model, not a curated record.